UUCAAUACUAUUAUCGUAAGAUAAUGGUGUGCACUUCUUUCUUAGUAAGACGUUGUGAUCCAUUAGGAAUUGAUUGUUCCAUUAGUUUAACAAUCAUUAGGUUAUCAAUAGAAUAAUAUGAAGUUCAUAAUUAUAAAUAAUAAAAUUGAUUAUAAUUUUAUAUAUUAUACUAUGAGCAUAUUAUAUAACUGGUAUAACUGCCUGAUGGAUUUUAAAGGUCAUAAUAUUGAUGUAUAUAUUUAUGCAUCACCUACUUCUCUAUUAUGAGAAGCUAAGGAUUAUAAUUAUGUACUCGAUCAACAACGGUUUCAUUUGGGAUACCUUUGGGACCCGUCUUGAAACACGGACCAAGGAGUCUAUCUAAUAUGCAAGUAAAUGAGAUUUUAUUGGAAACUUAUUUGCGUAAAUAACUUGACUGUUAUAUUAAUAAUGGGAUUACAAGUUAAAUAUUUUAUAUAUUUAAUUUCUCCAUCCCGGGGUAUUUUCAUAAUAUAUAAUAGAAUUUUCUAUUAUAUAGAAAAUAUACCAUGAGCAUAUUGGAUAUGACCCGAAAGAUGGUGAACUAUGCCUGAUCAGGUUGAAGUCAGGGGAAACCCUGAUGGAGGACCGAAGCAAUUCUGACGUGCAAAUCG
RNAcentral lists this ribosomal RNA (632 nucleotides) under Coelotanypus concinnus. RNAcentral describes it as "eukaryotic LSU rRNA". The stretch from base 347 to 632 matches the Rfam family "Eukaryotic large subunit ribosomal RNA", at positions 665 to 900 of the family's 3401-position model. The record is from RNAcentral. Lineage: Eukaryota; Metazoa; Arthropoda; Insecta; Diptera; Chironomidae.